ACUGUUUUAACAGGAAAUCACGGUUUUAUGGCAGAAAAUUACACUGUGAGAGGAAAUUACAGUGUAUGCAAAAAAGUGUCACUUUGUGAGAUCCUGGAGGGCUGAUAUCUGUGCAGGAGCCAGUUUAUUGGUACUGAGAAAUACCAUACUAAUUUGCUUGUUAUGGGUGAUUUCCUCUGUCAGCUGUGCCAGGCGUCCUGAAUUGAACACAUGAGGAAGAUGUCGGUUAUGUACAGGGACCACCAUCUAAAUGAAAAAAAAAUUAAGAAUACCUAUGUAAGCAAAGGUUGACAGCAAUACAAUCAUUAAACUAUUUUAACAUUUA
This is a long non-coding RNA of Ylistrum balloti, 325 nucleotides long. RefSeq lists it as uncharacterized. The record is from RefSeq and is a predicted model, not a curated record. Lineage: Eukaryota; Metazoa; Mollusca; Bivalvia; Pectinida; Pectinidae. The transcript is spliced from 2 exons.